CCUGGUGGCCCAAGCGGGGCGCCCCCACCCGAUCCCAUCCCGAACUCGGCCGUGAAACGCCCCAGCGCCAAUGGUACUUCGUCUCAAGACGCGGGAGAGUAGGUCGCCGCCAGGC
This is a ribosomal RNA of Roseibium sp. TrichSKD4, 115 nucleotides long. The record is from Rfam. NCBI's taxonomy places the organism in Bacteria, Pseudomonadati, Pseudomonadota, Alphaproteobacteria, Hyphomicrobiales, Stappiaceae.